This 396-nucleotide ribosomal RNA is filed under the name uncultured bacterium. RNAcentral's name for it is "bacterial SSU rRNA". It matches the Rfam family "Bacterial small subunit ribosomal RNA", at positions 521 to 916 of the family's 1533-position model. The record is from RNAcentral.
UAAUACAGAGGGUGCGAGCGUUAAUCGGAUUUACUGGGCGUAAAGCGUGCGUAGGCGGCUUUUUAAGUCGGAUGUGAAAUCCCUGAGCUUAACUUAGGAAUUGCAUUCGAUACUGGGAAGCUAGAGUAUGGGAGAGGAUGGUAGAAUUCCAGGUGUAGCGGUGAAAUGCGUAGAGAUCUGGAGGAAUACCGAUGGCGAAGGCAGCCAUCUGGCCUAAUACUGACGCUGAGGUACGAAAGCAUGGGGAGCAAACAGGAUUAGAUACCCUGGUAGUCCAUGCCGUAAACGAUGUCUACUAGCCGUUGGGGCCUUUGAGGCUUUAGUGGCGCAGCUAACGCGAUAAGUAGACCGCCUGGGGAGUACGGUCGCAAGACUAAAACUCAAAGGAAUUGACGG